UAAGUGCUCAAUAAAAAGUGAGCAGCGCC
This 29-nucleotide non-coding RNA is filed under the name Mus musculus (house mouse). The record is from RNAcentral. Lineage: Eukaryota; Metazoa; Chordata; Mammalia; Rodentia; Muridae.